Molecule: transfer RNA, 73 nt
Filed under: Salminus brasiliensis (dorado)
Lineage: Eukaryota; Metazoa; Chordata; Actinopteri; Characiformes; Bryconidae
Description: tRNA-Asn
Rfam family: tRNA
About the family: Transfer RNA (tRNA) molecules are approximately 80 nucleotides in length. Their secondary structure includes four short double-helical elements and three loops (D, anti-codon, and T loops). Further hydrogen bonds mediate the characteristic L-shaped molecular structure. tRNAs have two regions of fundamental functional importance: the anti-codon, which is responsible for specific mRNA codon recognition, and the 3' end, to which the tRNAs corresponding amino acid is attached (by aminoacyl-tRNA synthetases). tRNAs cope with the degeneracy of the genetic code in two manners: having more than one tRNA (with a specific anti-codon) for a particular amino acid; and 'wobble' base-pairing, i.e. permitting non-standard base-pairing at the 3rd anti-codon position.
Source: RNAcentral
UAGAUGAAUGCUCGCUGGUUUGAGCGCUUAGCUGUUAACUAAGAGUUUGUGGGAUCAAGGCCCUCUCAUCUAG